Molecule: RNase P RNA, 368 nt
Filed under: Bacteroidales bacterium
Lineage: Bacteria; Pseudomonadati; Bacteroidota; Bacteroidia; Bacteroidales
Description: RNase P RNA component class A
Rfam family: Bacterial RNase P class A
About the family: Ribonuclease P (RNase P) is a ubiquitous endoribonuclease, found in archaea, bacteria and eukarya as well as chloroplasts and mitochondria. Its best characterised activity is the generation of mature 5'-ends of tRNAs by cleaving the 5'-leader elements of precursor-tRNAs.
Source: RNAcentral
AGCAGUUCUCGUUCUAUCGCUGGUAGAUUGUAAAAGUCUACGAGAGGAAAGUCUGGGCAACAUAGAGCACCAUACUACCUAACGGGUAGGCAAUACUUUAUUGUGUUGACAGCAAGUGCCACAGAAAAUAACCGCCCUAGAAAUAGGGUAAGGGUGAAAAUGUGAGGUAAGAGCUCACGCAAUGGCUUAGUAAUAAGUUGUUGGGGUAAACCUUAUGGGUUGAAAGACCAAAUAUAUCAGCCUAGAGCUGCUCGCUCGUAAUGGCUGAGGGGUAGGUCGUUGGAGGCUUAUCGUGAGGUAAGUCCUAGAUUAAUGAUAGAGGCCUUAUUAUAAGGACACAGAACCCGGCUUAUAGAGAAUUGCUUUGU